Molecule: ribosomal RNA, 434 nt
Filed under: uncultured Clostridium sp.
Lineage: Bacteria; Bacillati; Bacillota; Clostridia; Eubacteriales; Clostridiaceae
Description: partial 16S ribosomal RNA
Rfam family: Bacterial small subunit ribosomal RNA
Source: RNAcentral
ACGGAAGGCAGCAGUGGGGGAUAUUGCACAAUGGGGGAAACCCUGAUGCAGCAACGCCGCGUGAGGGAAGACGGUCUUCGGAUUGUAAACCUAAGUUGUCAGGGACGAUAAUGACGGUACCUGAAUAGAAAGCUCCGGCUAACUACGUGCCAGCAGCCGCGGUAAUACGUAGGGAGCGAGCGUUGUCCGGAUUUACUGGGUGUAAAGGGUGCGUAGGCGGGUUUGCAAGUCAGACGUGAAAUACCGAGGCUCAACUUCGGGGCUGCGUUUGAAACUGUGAAUCUUGAGUGAAGUAGAGGUAAGCGGAAUUCCUAGUGUAGCGGUGAAAUGCGUAGAUAUUAGGAGGAACACCAGUGGCGAAGGCGGCUUACUGGGCUUUAACUGACGCUGAGGCACGAAAGCGUGGGGAGCAAACAGGAUUAGAUACCCUGGUA